GAUGAACGCUGGCGGCGUGCUUAACACAUGCAAGUCGAACGAAGCAUUUUGAAAAGCUUGCUUUUUGAAAUGACUGAGUGGCGGACGGGUGAGUAACGCGUGGGUAACCUGCCUUAUACAGGGGGAUAACAGUUAGAAAUGACUGCUAAUACCGCAUAAGCGCACAGUACUGCAUGGUACAGUGUGAAAAACUCCGGUGGUAUAAGAUGGACCCGCGUCUGAUUAGCUAGUUGGUGAGGUAACGGCUCACCAAGGCGACGAUCAGUAGCCGACUUGAGAGAGUGAUCGGCCACAUUGGGACUGAGACACGGCCCAAACUCCUAACGGGAGGCAGCAGUGGGGAAUAUUGCACAAUGGGGGAAACCCUGAUGCAGCGACGCCGCGUGAGUGAUGAAGUAUUUCGGAUGUAAAACUCUAUCAGCAGGGANAUAAUGACGGUACCUGACUAAAGAAGCUCCGGCUAAAUACGUGCCAGCAGCCGA
This 482-nucleotide ribosomal RNA is filed under the name uncultured bacterium. Its description in RNAcentral is "bacterial SSU rRNA". It matches the Rfam family "Bacterial small subunit ribosomal RNA", at positions 28 to 518 of the family's 1533-position model. The record is from RNAcentral.